Molecule: transfer RNA, 35 nt
Filed under: Orobdella esulcata
Lineage: Eukaryota; Metazoa; Annelida; Clitellata; Hirudinida; Orobdellidae
Description: partial tRNA-Cys
Source: RNAcentral
AAAUUUAAAGGUAUAUUAUAUGUAUCAUUUUCUAU